RNAcentral lists this long non-coding RNA (5319 nucleotides) under Nicotiana tabacum (common tobacco). Its description in RNAcentral is "long non-coding RNA (NTAB_LNC000540)". The record is from RNAcentral. Lineage: Eukaryota; Viridiplantae; Streptophyta; Magnoliopsida; Solanales; Solanaceae.
AGUGCAACUCCAUGCAAUACCAACAAUGAUGUUGCUGACUAUCCAGCAGUUGAGGAAAAACCUGAAGAACCAGCGAUUGAGAAAAAACCUGAAGAACCAAUGGCUAAGGAGAAACUUGAAGAACCAAUUGUUGAGGAUAAACCUGAAAAAUCAGUGAUAGAGGAGAAAUCUGAAAAACUAGCAACUGAAGAAACACUUGGAGAGCAAGCAGGGGAGGAAACACCUGAAGCACUAGCAGUUGAAGAGAAACCUGACAAAUCAACAGUUGAAGAGACAGUUGAAGAACUAGCUAUUGAACAGAAACCUAAAAAAACAGCAGUUGAAAAAGAGAAACCUGAAGCCGUAACUCUCCUGGAAAAGGUGAUCAAGCACUGUCACAGAGAUUCCUUGCUCUAUACGUGCAAGGAAUUUACAUCUACUUAUCUACUGAAAGAUUUAGUGAAACUUUAAAUUCUUCUUGCAGAAUAUGCCAGUUGUAGAUUCAAAGGACAAGAUUAACAGUGAAAUUCCAUGCAAUGCCAACAAUGAUGUUUUUGACUAUCCAGCAGUUGAGGCAAAACCUGAAGAACUAGCAAUUGAAAAAAAAUAUGAAGAACCAGUAGUUAUAUUGGAGAAACCUGCAGAACUAGCAGUUGAGGAGACACCUGAAAAAUCAGUAGUUGAAGAGAAGCCUGAAAAACCAGCAGCACGGGAAGAAGCACUUGAAGAACCAGCAUGGGAAGAAACACCUGAAGAACCAACAGUUGAAGAGAAACUUGAUAAACCAGCAACUGAAAAAGAGAAACCUGAAAAGGUAACUUUCCGCGAAAAGGUGAGGAUCAAGCACUAUCACAAAGUUCGCCCAUCCUAAUAGUCUUGUAUGUGCAAGGAAUUCACAUAUGCUUUUUUAUUGAAAGACUAAGUGAAACCUUCAAUUCUUCUUGCAGAAUAUGCCUGUUGUAGACUCAAAUGGUAAGACUGGCAGUAAAAUUACAUGCACUACCAAAAAAGAUGUUGCUGAUAAUCCAGCAGUUGAGGAUGAAGAACCAGCAGUUGAGGAUAAACCUGAUGAACCAACAGUUGAAGAAAAACCUGAAGAACCAGCAAUUGAAGGAAAACUUGAGAAACUGGCAGUUGAAGAUAAACUUGAGGAACCAGCUUUUGAACAGAACCCUGAGGAAACAGCAGUUGAACAGAACCCCGAGGAACCGCCAGUUGAAGAAAAACCUGAGGUACCAGUAGUUGACGAAAAAGCUGAAGAACUAGUGGUUGAAGAGAAACUUGAAGAACCAUCAGUUAAAGAAAAGCCGGAAGAACAAAGCAGGGAAGAAACCGAAGCUCCCAUAAAAGAGGCAAAGCAUAACCAGAAUGCAAAUGAAGCAAGCAGCAGUCUGCCAACAGCUAUGCUAAGCCAUCCGCCUGCUCAAGGGACAACAAUGACCAACCCAAUAUUGGGAGAACCAAUUAGUAUUGACGAACCUAAAAAUGUGCAACAGCUAGAUUCUCAAGAAAUAUCAGAAAUCGAUGAUGCAAUGCAGAGAGAUGAAGAUAACAUAAAGCAGAAGGAUGAGGCUUCUUUCACUGAAGAACAGAAGUUUACACCACAGAGUGAGUAAUACUAGUUCACAGACAUGCUUUCCCUAUCCAAUUGAUUUUAUUUGCAAUGGAAAAUGGUGACACACUUUAGAUAACAGAUCAAAUCGAUUUAACCAUAGUCUUACUCGCAAAAAGUAGAGAAAAAUACAAAUGGAACCAAUCUCUAAAAGGAAGCUGAAAUGGAGAGAAGCACCAGAGACAAGAUGCCUUUCUGUUUUGGAGAAACCUCGAAAAAGUAGAAUGCACAUCCACAGUAUUUAGCAAUAAUGAUCAUCUAUCAUUACAUAUAUGAACAUAAUUUAUUUAUUACUACAUUGAUAUAAUAAAGAAAUCCUAUGAUAUGCUUUUGCUAAGAUAUUAGGGCUAGCAGCAUUCAUUAAGCCAUAAAUUCCAAUAUGGAUGUAACAAGCACUUUUUUGGGGGUUCAAAGAGAUGCACUUUCUAGUCACUUCAAUAAUGACUAGAUGUGGUAUUAACUACUACCGACAUAUUGCAGGUUAUGACAAUCAAAAUACUUCGACAGGGGAUAGUUUCUUAAAUAAGAACAUGUUCGCUGAAGGUGAAGCUGUGCACAUUAAUAGUCAAGAGGAUCUAAUCAGGCAAGAAACUUCAGGAAGCACAAAAUCUGAGAUAAAUCCAAAUUCAAGUAAAGGAACAGAAAAUGAGGCAAGUGAUAUUGCUAAUAGAGAAGGAUCAAGCAGACUUGGUUAAGUAAAUAAUUUAGUUGCUCUUCGUCCUUAUUGUUCUAAACUUGAUGAGCUACUUGGUUAUGCAGGUAAAUGACCAUCCAGAAGGACCAGAAGUACCAAAACAAACUGAUGAAACGGAAAAAUGUAUAGUACAGAAGCAAGAAGAUUCCGUUCGCAACCAGGACGAACUGGCUGUUGAAGAAAAAAUGAGAUCUUGUGAAGAGGUUGAAACAAAGGUAUUAGAUGAUCUGGCUUCUAUUAAUACUCUGAUCUUUCCUGUCCAUAGACUAAUGAUAGCCAAAACUAUAACUUCAAAACAUAUAAACAAACUUAAAGAUAUAAAUGCUGGUGAUGGAAUGGAACAAAUAAAAACAUUAUGGAAAAAGAAGAAAAGACUUUGGACAAAAUUCUGACGUCCACCAAAGAAGAAAUUGGUACCAAGAACUCUGAAGAAGGCCAAGUGGUUUCAGAGAUUCCCAGUCAAGAGUUUAAGUGACCAUAGAAGCCUGUUCUUAAUUCAUAUAUGUAACUCUCAGAUAUAAAGAUGCCUUCUCUCUUUCUACUAAAAUCACAAAAUUCCCUCUUUUUCAAAUCUGCAGAACUUUCAACAAGCUAAUUUAAUCAGAGAUGAAGCUUUAUUGAAAGAUGAGCAUGGAGUCGAGAACUUCGUGGUAGUUUCUUCAGAAGAAAUUAGUUGUGAAGGCUCUAUUGAAAAGUUAAACGAAAUGAGAACCUGAGAAUGAAUCAGCCAAUUAGCAUCAAGGCACUCAUAUGACAACCAUUCACUGAGGGUCUUAAGUUUAUUGCAUGCAUAUGAAUUAUCUUGCCACCUUGUCUUUCUGGGAGAAAUAUUAAAAUUCAAGUCUGAAAGUAUUUGAAGUAUAUAGUUCGUAGUAACUACUAACUACUAUAAAUUUAAAGUUCUCCAUAUAAAACAAAAUAAGUCUUCACUUCCUUUCCCAGAGUUUUUGUUUAUUCUGUAGUUAUUGCACAAAAUGGGAAACAAUAGAUGAUAAGAUGAUAUAUACAAGAAAUAGAAAAUUAAUUCACUGCUGAUAGAGUAUAUUCUAUUGCACAAAUAUCAACCAUCUUUGCUCUUUUAUUUGUUUAUUUAUUUAUUUUGUUCGAGGCUAUUACAAGUGAGACAUCCUAGUAUCAUUGGGAUUCAUAUGCGCUUCUUUUGAAAACUAAGUCGAAACAAAAAUUAGCCAAAUGCUGACAAAUGGGUAUGACUUAUUUUUCUGAAAAAGAACGGACCAUUGACAUUGCAAAUCGAGUAUUCCUUUGAGUCUUUGAAACAAUAAGUUGCAAGGGAAGGUUUAAGCAAAUUUCAAAUAUUGCAGGUAGAUGCCUUCAUGCAUUUAUUCUGAUCAUUUUAUUGGUUUUCUUCGGCAGACUCUUUUAACAUUGACAAAAAGAAAGAUUCUUCUUGGAGAAUUAUCAGUUAAUAAAGGAAGAGGCAGUGGAAACUCUUUCUCGGGGAAUUCCAAAAUAUGACCUUAAGAGAAUUCACAUGACGUUAAGCUAGAAACCAAGGACUUAAACCACUAGGCCACGGCAACUGUAUUUCAGUUAUAAACAGGAAUCUUGCUAAAAUAAGAAGUCCCAAAAAUCAUCAUGUAGACAUCUGUUAACUUGAUAUAAUGCUCGGCAGUUGACAAUUACUAAAACCAUCUGGAGAUUAAGAUAUGAACACCUUCUUCUCUCGUUAGAAUGAUUCUUAUAUGCAUAACUCCUUGUCCUUUUCUCACCAGUGUAUGUAACAUACUAAACAAUGGUAGCACUCAAAAUAUUCUGAGCAAUCACGAUCAUUGUUGCAGAACAGUUGAGCAUGUGUAAUAACCCUAUGCGAGAUGCAACCAAAAGAAUUCCACCAUCCUAUUAGUUCCGUAUGUGUAAGGAAUUCACAUCUACUUAUCUAUUGAAAGACUAAGUGAAACUUUAAAUUCUUCUUGUAGAAUAUGCCGGUUGUAGACUCGAACGACAAGACUGACAGUGAAAUUUCAUGCAAUACCGACAAUGAUGUUGCUGACCAUCCGGCAGUUGCAGAAAAACCCGAUGAUUCAGCAGUUGAAGAGAAACCCGAGGAAUGGAUAGUUGAAGAGAAACUGGAAGAAACAGCCGUUAAGGAGAAAGCCGAAGAACCAAAAGUUGAGGAGAAACUCGAAGAACCAGCAAUUGAGGAGAAACCUGACAAACCAGCGGUUGAAGGGACACCUGAAGAACCUGCAGUGAAAGAAACACCUGAACAACCAACGUUUGAAGAGAAACCUCAAGAACCAGCAAUUCAGGAGAAACCUGAAGAACCAACAGUUGAAAAGAAACCUGAAGAACCAACAAUUGAUGAAGAACUUGAAGAACCAACAGUUGCGGAGAAACCCGAAGAACCAGCAGUUAAAGAAAAACAUGUAGAACCAGCAAUUGAAGAAAAACGUGAGGAACCACAAGUUGAAGAAAAACAUGAGGAACCAGCAGUUGAAGAAAAAACUGAAGAACCAGCAGUUGAAGAAAAACCUAAAGAACCAAAAGUUGAGGAGAAACCUAAAGAACCAGCGGCUGAGGAGAAACCCGAAGAACCAGCAGUGAAAGAAACACCUGAAGAACCAGCGGUUAAAGAGACACCUGAGGAACUAGCAGUUGAAGAGAAACCUGAAGAACCAGCAAUUGAAGAGAAACCUGAAGAACCAGUAGCUGACAAAAAACUUGAGCAACCAACAAUUGAGGAGAAACCUGAAGAAUCAAUAGUUGAAAAGACUGAAGAACCAGCAGUUGAUGAAAAAGGUGAAGAACCGUCAGUUGAAGAAAUACCUGAGGAGUCGGCAGUUGAAAAUUUUGAAGAAGCAGCAGUAGAAGAGAAACCUGAAGAACCAGCAGUUAAGGAAAAAACUGAAGAACCACCCAUUGAAGAAAAACCCGAGGACCAAGCAGUUGAAGAGAAACCUAAAGAACUAACAGUUGAAGAGAAACUUGAAGAACCAAUAAUUGAAGAGAAACCUAAAGAACCACCAGUUGGAGAAGAACCCAAAGAACAAAACAGGGAAGAUACUGAAGCUGC